AAGUUGAGAAGGUUUUCCAGACCUUGCAAAGUUUACCCUCAGAAAUCCCAUCAAGAAAGUGGCUUGUAGAUUACAUGAUGGAGCUUGGGUUCUUCAAAUCACUUUCCCAGUGGGUUGGCAAUAACCUUAUGAAAUCUGGGGACCAUGAAACAUGGGCUUUUGAUCUCCAAGGUGCUGUUGAUAUGUUCAAUUCAUACAGGUUUCAGUUGGUGAUAUUGUGGUGACUCCAAUUUGAAUCAAUCAAUUUAUUCCA
This is a long non-coding RNA of Papaver somniferum (opium poppy), 253 nucleotides long. RefSeq lists it as uncharacterized. The record is from RefSeq and is a predicted model, not a curated record. NCBI's taxonomy places the organism in Eukaryota, Viridiplantae, Streptophyta, Magnoliopsida, Ranunculales, Papaveraceae. The transcript is spliced from 3 exons.